UGACAAGGGUCUAAUCCUGGUAUUUCUGCCUGACAUGCAGAACAGAGCAACAUGAGAAAGCAGAGAAAAGCUCAAAGGUCUCCCAGCUGCACACCACACAGGCCUUGGACACACCUUCCUCUCAAACAUCCAUCAACCUCGUGAAUAAAGAUGCAAAAAAUGCUAGAACCAAAAUUAAGACAUCCAUGAAGACACUGCUUCAUAUAAACCCUCCUCACCUGCCAGAAGCCUUCCAGAAGCUUCGGUUGCUCCAGCUUCAUAAGUUGAUGAACGGUUGGAAAUUUUAGUGCUGAAGAUGUUUGUACCUGCAUGUACGGAACUGGUGUUUGGCCACUGCCCCAAGGCAGCAGCACAGGACAGCAGGCAGUGUUAGAUUCAUCGGCACUGCUCUGGGUGGGGCUCCCAUCCCGGUGUGAUGCCCGCGGUGUUCCAGCCCACAGAAUGCAUG
Hirundo rustica (Barn swallow) is the source of this 448-nucleotide long non-coding RNA. RefSeq lists it as uncharacterized. The record is from RefSeq and is a predicted model, not a curated record. NCBI's taxonomy places the organism in Eukaryota, Metazoa, Chordata, Aves, Passeriformes, Hirundinidae. The transcript is spliced from 3 exons.